Molecule: long non-coding RNA, 1205 nt
Filed under: Piliocolobus tephrosceles (Ugandan red Colobus)
Lineage: Eukaryota; Metazoa; Chordata; Mammalia; Primates; Cercopithecidae
Description: lncRNA (ENSPTEG00000018046.1)
Source: RNAcentral
GUAUAGGUAUAGGUAUAGAAUAUGAACAUGCAACAUUUACAAGAAAUAAAUCAGAUAAUAAUGAAAAAAGAAAAAAAAACAUAUGAUAUAAAAUUACUACAACAAAAAAAUGAUAAUAACUUAAAAAUGAUAAAUUUUUAUAAACUCGAAAUAAAUAAAUUAAGAGAAGCUCUAUUAUCAGUGAAAACUUAUUAUUACAACUAUAGAAUUAAAUCAAAAAAAAACAUUAACGAAUUAAUGAUUCAAUAUGAGAGAAUAAAAUUUCAAUUUAUUGAAUUACAAAAGAGACAAAAAAGUUAUGAACAAAAUUUUCAAAAAAAAUACACAAAUGCUUGGAACUUGCAAAAAAACGAGGCCAACAAGCACAUUGAAAAAUUAAUAAAUGCAAAUAAAAUAAUUCACGAACAAAUCCUUUUAAAAGAAUUUCAUCAAACUAAUUAUAAACAAUUGAUAGAAGAUAACAGCAGUUUAAUUUCAACAACCGUUAAAGAUCAUGAAAUCCCUCAAACAGAGUUAAAUACAAAACGUGUUAAUAUACAACAUAUUGAAAAUGUUAAGAAGCUACUUCUGCAAGAAUGCAAUUUCCUAGUCGAAGACGAUAUCGAUGACGAACAACAAAAAAUAAAAAAACUAUUAAAAUACAUAGGUGUGUAUACACAAGAAGAUUUAGAACUACUAACACAAUUGUUUUAUUUAGAUUAUGAGCACGAAAAUGACAGUAACAAUAAUAACAACAAAGAGAGUGACCAUAAUGCGAUAAAAUAUAAUUCAGAAUAUACAUUAGAUAUAAUUUAUAAGUAUUAUCAAGAAAAAGAAAAAGAAAAUGCUUGUAAAAUAACAAAGAAUAAACAACAAUAUAAAAAUAGGUUAAAUAUUUCUUUAAAGUUAAUAAUUGAGAGAAGAAAAAAAGAAAAAGAGUUCUGGGAAAACUUAACGCAUAUUACAUCUAAUGAUAUGAUAGAAAUGUGGAAGACAUUCUCAGUUUUUGUGGAAAAGUAUUACUAUAUAUUAAAAGAUCGAGCAACUAUUGUCCAAAAUAUUUUUAAUGAAGAAAAAUUAAUCAUUGAAAAUAAAAACAAAAUUGAAAACAUGCGUGAAGCUUUAUCCAAGCUAUAAACAAGUAAAGAUUCAUAUAUUUUGUUUUUAAAGAUUUAAACCUUGUUUAGUGUAAUAAAAUAAAAAUGCAGAAGUCUGUAUUGAGAAAG